GACGAACGCUGGCGGCGUGCUUAACACAUGCAAGUCGAACGGAAAGGCCCUGCUUUUGUGGGGUGCUCGAGUGGCGAACGGGUGAGUAACACGUGAGUAACCUGCCCUUGACUUUGGGAUAACUUCAGGAAACUGGGGCUAAUACCGGAUAGGAGCUCCUGCUGCAUGGUGGGGGUUGGAAAGUUUCGGCGGUUGGGGAUGGACUCGCGGCUUAUCCGCUGGUUGGUGGGGUAGUGGCUUACCAAGGCUUUGACGGGUAGCCGGCCUGAGAGGGUGACCGGCCACAUUGGGACUAAGAGACGGCCCAGACUCCUACGGUAGGCAGCAGUGGGGAAUAUUGCACAAUGGGCGGAAGCCUGAUGCAGCAACGCCGCGUGCGGGAUGACGGCCUUCGGGUUGUAAACCGCUUUCGCCUGUGACGAAGCGUGAGUGACGGUAAUGGGUAAAGAAGCACCGGCUAACUACGUG
RNAcentral lists this ribosomal RNA (468 nucleotides) under uncultured bacterium. Its description in RNAcentral is "partial 16S ribosomal RNA". It matches the Rfam family "Bacterial small subunit ribosomal RNA", at positions 28 to 507 of the family's 1533-position model. The record is from RNAcentral.